UUUGUCUUUUUGUUAGCUGAUAUGUUCCUGAGAUCUACAUUUCCUACCGAUGACUCAUAGACUACAUAUAUGAUUCUUUCUGUUACUUCCCAUUUUUACUUGUAUACGUGUGAGUGCCAGCUAAAUCAGCCUAUCUUAUGAAUUUCCUUGGUUUUUUGCAUCAGGUUCUUCUGUAUAUCGACGCUCGCUGCUUUGGCAAAGGCCUUUAUAACCUACACCAGCUAGGACUAGCCAAGACCUCGCCGCAGUUGUCUUCAACUCUUCAUGCACUUGUCUUUGCAACCUUUUGGACACACUGCUACUAUUUUGCUUGUGUGUUUGCAAAUCCAGGUUUUGGUGCUCAUAGAGUAAUGCCCAAGAUCUGCUGAUGCAAUUCUCUAUUAAGCUCUGUUGUCGUAGACCAUUUUUAUAUGUUGUGAAUAUUGUCGUUCGAACUAUCUUCUUACCCCUGUCUCUUCUAUCCAUUGUAAAUAUUCUUGCACUGCGUUACCUGAUCUAUCUAUAAUUAUCGUCAGUAAAAUGCUACCUGCUUUAAGACUUUUAUGCCUACAUAUUCCCCAUUUCCAAUGUUCUGUUUGGUAACACAAUAUUGUCUACCUUAGCUAUGCAUUCUUCAAAAUGAAUGUCUACAUCUUAAAGCUAAUAAAUAGAACUUGACGAUGCAUGUUUGCUCUAUUUUUUUGUCAAAAGUAGCUACUGGCUUAUUCUUGAUCUCUAGGCAAUACCACCUUACUACAAUGUUUUUGCUAAUUUCUCAGCACUUGCGCAGAAAGACAAGAGCUACGUGUUGCUCAAGGAACAACUUGCUGUUGUUGUUCCUGUGCUAGACGACCUGAAAUGCAAGACAGAAAAAAGGAUCAAGCAGUAUUAUGAUAUUCGAUCACAGAUUGAGAAGAUAUGCUCCGAGUUAAGUGAGCAUAAUGAUCAGGGUGAUAAUGUAAACAGUCCAGCUGGUGAUGAACAUGAUUUGUCGACAAGGAAGCUUAAUAGCUACCAAGCACAACUUCGUGCUCAAAAAUAAGUUAAACCGUCCUGAAUAAGCUAGGUAAUCUGAAACCUACAGUUGGCCUUCAAAAUAUUAUGUUUCUUGCACUACAUGUGAAUAAAUAGAACUGGCAGCUGCUAAGGAAUACUUGAGUAUUCAGGAAUGGUUCAAGUCAGAGAAAAAAGACCUUAGAUUUUGUGGUAUAUGCUUUCUAUAAAGUGGUAAGAUGAUUAAUUUGUUAAGCUAGCCACUGCCAUGUAAUUUGUAUCAACUAUCUAGGACUGCAGGUCAUCUAAUUUAAGUUACUUUAGGAUUGAGUGUUGAUGCGAAAUGUUUCCUUAUUUGCAUUACUUUCAGUCUGAUAGACUUCACAAGAUUCUGAAAUAUGUAAAUGAAGGCAUUCUUUAUGUGGAGUUAUUGGAAUUGAUUUCCCAAAGACUGUAAACGUAAUUCAUCCCGGUCUACAUCAGAAUGGUGCUGAGCAGUCCAGAAACAUGAGCAAUGGGAAGGCCUUCCUAGCACAAUAUCAAAUCUUAAAGAAGAGAGAAAAUCUAGAAUCGAUAAGAUGAGAGACACAAUGGAAUCAUUAUGUCACCUCUUGAAGUUAAUGGAUUCUUCUGAAGAGGAGAAAAGGCAAUUCAGCAAAGUAAUCAACAUUCUCAUAUCACUAGAAGAGGGAAUCACAUCCGCUGGUGUUCUUUCGUAGGAAACAAUCGGGAAGGUUUACUAGAAGAGGGAAUCACAUCCGCUGGUGUUCUUUCCUAGGAAACAAUCGGGAAGGUACAUACUGAAGGAUGUUCCGAGGAUAGCACCAGGUUUAGAAGUUUUGCAAUUCACAACAAUACCUCAUAAUUUUGAUUUGAUGUCCAGAAUGUCAAUUGAAGAAUGAGCCUAUGAACUGCAUUGUAUUUUGGGAUAUAUCCUUAUAUAUGGUGCCUGUGGAUUUUUUUUGCAAUUAUAAGUUUACAUUUAUGGGUAUUAUAGAGUCCUUUCUUUUUCCACAAGGGGCAGUAGCCGUGCCAUUCGAUUCGAAGGACAAAAAGUUGAUCACAAAGGGGUAGCACUCAGGAUAUAUACACAAGAGUAUAGAACCAAAUUAUAUGAUGUAAUUGACCACUAUUUCUAUUUACUUCUCCUGUACAAAUGUUCACGAGUUCAUGUAUUAAGUACAUUUUAUUGUGUCACUUGUGUUUACUCUUUUUUAAUAAG
This is a long non-coding RNA of Triticum aestivum (bread wheat), 2194 nucleotides long. RefSeq lists it as uncharacterized. Lineage: Eukaryota; Viridiplantae; Streptophyta; Magnoliopsida; Poales; Poaceae. The record is from RefSeq and is a predicted model, not a curated record. The transcript is spliced from 3 exons.